RNAcentral lists this long non-coding RNA (868 nucleotides) under Homo sapiens (human). RNAcentral's name for it is "non-protein coding lnc-SHB-4:1". The record is from RNAcentral. Lineage: Eukaryota; Metazoa; Chordata; Mammalia; Primates; Hominidae.
CACUUAUGGUCUUGUGUCCUAUACUUCAUGUGUGAUGCCACCAGAAAUGUUAUGGAUUCCGUAUUGAACACACUGAGAGUGGUAUGAGCCCUCAGGACUGCACCACAGAGUAAACACAACCUUGAUAUGGUGGCGAAUAUGUGUGUCUUUCUUGUUUCAUUUGUGGUUGGGGACAAAAUCGAUGUAUUUGUCUAAAUAGUCGAUAUUCAUCUUAACAUGGUUGGUUGUGUAAUCACCAGCUAUAUUGUGAACUGUGCAAUAAAACAGAAGCGUUUGUGUAUAUAAUUACCUUUGGAUACCUGAAAUUCCCAAGCUUGGUUACAAUGUAAUGCUCAGUAUAAGGCUGUGCAAACAUGUAAGGGAAUAAUGGUGGUCGAUGGGAUAUAUGAAAUGGGAUCUAGAGGGCUUCGAGUGAAGCCAAUCAUGUUGAACGAACACUGGUUCAGUGUAGAUGAAGUAGAGUGAGGCGUAUGCAGUCAUAAAAUGAAGGGUGGACAGGAGAUUACAUUUGAAGAAAGGAUAAGCACUCAGACUUGGUCUCUUUUAAAUUAAAAUAUUUCUUUUCUCAUGUGCAAAUGUAUAUCAAAGACUUGAACAGGUAUUCUCUUGAAAUUUGAGGAUUUUUAGUUUUUAAUGCUGUCUUUGCUUAAUAUUAAAUAUGUGUUGCCUAUUGGCUCCCAAAUUGUGUGGGAGUCUCUAAAUGUUUCCUCUUGAAGGUUCAUUAUUGAAAGUGGUUAAGUGCACAAUGCUAUUUUUGUUUGAUAGUUUGAGUUUUAUGACCCUAUGAGUUUAAAUGAAAUCUGUUAAAUGUUUCAGAGUUAACACUUUUUUUUUGAUAAUUUGGAAUAAAGUUUGUUUUUUAAGCCCA